This 65-nucleotide transfer RNA is filed under the name Potamilus streckersoni. RNAcentral describes it as "tRNA-Val". The record is from RNAcentral. Lineage: Eukaryota; Metazoa; Mollusca; Bivalvia; Unionida; Unionidae.
UAGAUGAUAGUAUAAUCUUAAUACUUUUUGUUUACACCAAAAAACUGGCUACCCACCUCAUCUAC